CGCGGGAUGGAGAAGCGGUUAACUCACCAGGUUCUCACCCUGGAGAUCGUUGGUUCAAAUCCAACUCCCGCAACCA
RNAcentral lists this transfer RNA (76 nucleotides) under Oscillibacter sp. RNAcentral's name for it is "tRNA-Glu". It matches the Rfam family "tRNA". Rfam says of the family: Transfer RNA (tRNA) molecules are approximately 80 nucleotides in length. Their secondary structure includes four short double-helical elements and three loops (D, anti-codon, and T loops). Further hydrogen bonds mediate the characteristic L-shaped molecular structure. tRNAs have two regions of fundamental functional importance: the anti-codon, which is responsible for specific mRNA codon recognition, and the 3' end, to which the tRNAs corresponding amino acid is attached (by aminoacyl-tRNA synthetases). tRNAs cope with the degeneracy of the genetic code in two manners: having more than one tRNA (with a specific anti-codon) for a particular amino acid; and 'wobble' base-pairing, i.e. permitting non-standard base-pairing at the 3rd anti-codon position. The record is from RNAcentral. Lineage: Bacteria; Bacillati; Bacillota; Clostridia; Eubacteriales; Oscillospiraceae.